Oreochromis niloticus (Nile tilapia) is the source of this 506-nucleotide long non-coding RNA. RefSeq lists it as uncharacterized. The record is from RefSeq and is a predicted model, not a curated record. Lineage: Eukaryota; Metazoa; Chordata; Actinopteri; Cichliformes; Cichlidae. The transcript is spliced from 3 exons.
AAGUUACACUGGGUUUUGUGUGUGUGUGUGUGUGUGUGUGUCACAUUUUUGGUGAGCCAAUGGCUGGAAUGGGGUUGGACUAAUUAGAGGCAGGUGUACUUGAUUGCACUGAUACACUGGUCUACUUAUAGCCCACACUACAAACACUGCUGUGUCAUUUUGUCUCUCUGUGCAGGCCAGGGCCUAUUAUAUGCCACAGCCUAAAGGCAGCAGAGUUGCAGAGGCUGGAGUGACCACUGGCUAUAUGCUUGCAGGGUGGAGGAUCUCCCUGCCCGAGUCCUUCCUGACAGCAGACAUCAUCCUCAGCACGCUGCAGAACAUCAGAGGGUCUUGUGGUCUACCCCAAAGUCAUCGAGAGACGCAUCUGCCACGAGCUGCCCUUCAUGGCCACAGAGAACAUUAUUAAGGCGAUAGUGAAGGCAGGAGGCAACAGACAGAAGAAAAUACCCUGUGAGGAAUUCUCCUCUGAGUCAGAAUGGACACAAUAAUAAAAGUUUUGAACAUAA